UGGUGGAGUGAUUUGUCUGGUUAAUUCCGUUAACGAACGAGACCUCAGCCUGCUAAAUAGUGCGGCGAUCAUUCGUGAUCGUAUGUUACUUCUUAGAGGGACUGUCGGUUUCUAGCCGACGGAAGUUUGAGGCAAUAACA
RNAcentral lists this ribosomal RNA (140 nucleotides) under uncultured eukaryote. Its description in RNAcentral is "partial 18S ribosomal RNA". It matches the Rfam family "Eukaryotic small subunit ribosomal RNA", at positions 1299 to 1458 of the family's 1831-position model. The record is from RNAcentral.